This 207-nucleotide long non-coding RNA is filed under the name Mytilus galloprovincialis (Mediterranean mussel). The record is from RNAcentral. Lineage: Eukaryota; Metazoa; Mollusca; Bivalvia; Mytilida; Mytilidae.
UGACAAAGGAUUUUCCAUUUUGAACUUUCCUUAGAGUUAGGUAUUUUUGUGAUUUAACAUUUUAAUCAUUCUUUGUGUCCGAAGUGCUUUCAGGAAUGAUCAAACCUAAACAUUGGAGAGCAACAAAUAUAGAAGACCCUAACACUAGAAGAUUCAUAUGAUUUAAAGUGUAAAUGAAGUAAAAAACAAAUUAUGCAAAAACAGGCC